This 460-nucleotide ribosomal RNA is filed under the name uncultured bacterium. RNAcentral describes it as "partial 16S ribosomal RNA". It matches the Rfam family "Bacterial small subunit ribosomal RNA", at positions 338 to 795 of the family's 1533-position model. The record is from RNAcentral.
CCUACGGGAGGCAGCAGUGAGGAAUAUUGGUCAAUGGACGAGAGUCUGAACCAGCCAAGUAGCGUGAAGGAUGACUGCCCUAUGGGUUGUAAACUUCUUUUGUAAAGGAAUAAAACGAGGCACGUGUGCCUUUUUGCAUGUACUUUAUGAAUAAGGAUCGGCUAACUCCGUGCCAGCAGCCGCGGUAAUACGGAGGAUCCGAGCGUUAUCCGGAUUUAUUGGGUUUAAAGGGAGCGUAGAUGGGUUGUUAAGUCAGUUGUGAAAGUUUGCGGCUCAACCGUAAAAUUGCAAUUGAUACUGGAAGUCUUGAGUACAGUUGAGGUAGGCGGAAUUCGUGGUGUAGCGGUGAAAUGCUUAGAUAUCACGAAGAACUCCGAUUGCGAAGGCAGCUUACUAAACUGCCACUGACAUUGAUGCUCGAAAGUGUGGGUAUCAAACAGGAUUAGAUACCCCGGUAGUC